UACGGAGGGUGCAAGCGUUGCUCGGAAUUAUUGGGCGUAAAGGGUAGGUAGGUGGUCUUAUUUGUCUGGGGUGAAAUCCUUGAGCUUAACUCAAGAAGUGCCUCAGAAACGGUGAGACUAGAGUUCUGGAGAGGGUCGUGGAAUUCCCGGUGUAGCGGUGAAAUGCGUAGAGAUCGGGAGGAACACCAGAGGCGAAGGCGGCGACCUGGACAGAUACUGACACUCAACUACGAAAGCGUGGGGAGCAAACAGG
This 253-nucleotide ribosomal RNA is filed under the name uncultured bacterium. RNAcentral's name for it is "partial 16S ribosomal RNA". It matches the Rfam family "Bacterial small subunit ribosomal RNA", at positions 524 to 776 of the family's 1533-position model. The record is from RNAcentral.